RNAcentral lists this transfer RNA (68 nucleotides) under Architeuthis dux (giant squid). RNAcentral describes it as "tRNA-Ala". The record is from RNAcentral. Lineage: Eukaryota; Metazoa; Mollusca; Cephalopoda; Oegopsida; Architeuthidae.
GGUAUUAUACUUUAUAUACUAGAAGACAUGAUUUGCAAUCAUAAAGAAAGAACUUAUCUUUAAUACCA